This 253-nucleotide ribosomal RNA is filed under the name uncultured bacterium. RNAcentral describes it as "partial 16S ribosomal RNA". It matches the Rfam family "Bacterial small subunit ribosomal RNA", at positions 524 to 776 of the family's 1533-position model. The record is from RNAcentral.
GACAGAGGGUGCAAACGUUGCUCGGAAUUACUGGGCGUAAAGGGCUCGUAGGCGGCCAACUAAGUCAUACGUGAAAUCCCUCGGCUUAACCGGGGAACUGCGUCUGAUACUGGAUGGCUUGAGUUCGGGAGAGGGAUGCGGAAUUCCAGGUGUAGCGGUGAAAUGCGUAGAUAUCUGGAGGAACACCGGUGGCGAAGGCAGCUCGCUGGGACGUGACUGACGCUGAGACGCGAAAGCGUGGGGAGCGAACAGG